GUGCCAGCCGCCGCGGUAAUACGGAGGGUGCAAGCGUUGUCCGGAAUCACUGGGCGUAAAGGGUGCGCAGGCGGGGCAGCAAGUCGGAGGUGAAAUCCCACGGCUCAACCGUGGAAGUGCCUUCGAAACUGCUGCUCUUGAGUCCCGGAGAGGUUGCCGGAAUUCGUGGUGUAGCGGUGAAAUGCGUAGAUAUCACGAGGAACACCAGAGGCGAAAGCGGGCAACUGGACGGGUACUGACGCUCAGGCACGAAAGCUAGGGUCUCAAACCGGAUUAGAUACCCUGGUAGUCC
This 292-nucleotide ribosomal RNA is filed under the name uncultured bacterium. Its description in RNAcentral is "partial 16S ribosomal RNA". It matches the Rfam family "Bacterial small subunit ribosomal RNA", at positions 505 to 796 of the family's 1533-position model. The record is from RNAcentral.